GGAAUAAUGAGCCAGAGUUUGUGAAGGUGCUUUGAAGUAGCUGGAUGAAAGGGACUGUGUAAAUCAUAACAGUAGUAGCCCUGCCAGACUGCUCUCACCACACUUGUCUCUUACACUCCAAUACAGGGGCACCGCCACCCAUUCCCAUGCACCCCCACCACUGCUCAGCAAUUUUGCAUGUUGCUUCCAAAGGGGUUGCUCACCCCUGUAUCCAAACAUCACCACCACAGAUAUUCAGUGUCCUGCCCCACACUGCCAGCACUCCCCACCGAGCACACAGCUGGAAGGAAACUUCAAGAUAAUUUGGUCCAACAUCCCAUUUUUUGAAGGUCAGGAAACUAACAUCCAGAAAGGUUAAAUGAGUUUGCCUGGAAUUUCUUUUAAGGAGAUGCAUUUCCUAAGGGUCAUCAUAUUUCUAAAUCAGUAAGAGUGCUAAGUAAUAUGUUUUGUUAAAUCUGCAUGUUUUUAAAGAAACGAAUACAAGAGAAUAAUAACGUUUCCUUUUGGAAGGGAAGAUCUGCCUGCAUGGCCAGUAACCCAGAGCCCAAGCCAGAUAAAAAUAAUGAUUAACGAACGGAUAAACAGGCUCAUAUGCUUCAUACGUGAUAAAUUAAGGGUCUCAUACUGGCCAGAGAAUCAUGUUAUCUAAGUAAUUUUGAGAAGACAGCCCAUGACCUUAAUAAUUUGCCACUUGUUAUGGCAAAGUUAUUUUGAAAGUUUUCUAGGUAACUGAAGGUCCAGUGUAUGUGCCAGGCAUUUAGUAUAAUCUUAUCUUUCCCCAAAUGUGGACAAAAGUGGUUUUUUUCAGUCACAUAUACCACCGCAUUGAGAACUGGACAUUUGAUAAUCAUCAGCGAUUUUCCCUCCAGGGCCUCCUCAGAUGGCUUUUCUUGAUUACAAACUAUUUUGGAAACUCCAAAUUCUUUCCACUGAUUUAGCAACGAAUCCUCAACUUAUUUUUAAACUGCUGUAAUUGAGCAGCUCUGGGGGUUAACUUGUGGAGUCUGGUCACUUUUAGAUCAAAUUAUCAACCAAACACUCUGCUCUUACCAUCUUGGGACCAUCUUCUAUUUCUUUUGCUGAGAAUAGGUUAACCAAGGGACCUUGAAAUCAUUCAAAGCCACAAUACAAAAACAUCACUUUGGCUUCUCCCAAGUUUAUCCUACUCUUCAUCUGGUGCAAGGAAACGAACAGAAAAACCGGACCCUGUUAAUUAUUCCCAAGAUGACAUCAAUGUGCUCUUCCAUGGCCUUCUACAGCUUGGAGCUGAGCUCAAGGAGCAAGGAGUUAUAGCAGAAAGCACACUGGCCACCUGUUUAAGCGACUGGACCCUUUGAACACCUCUUUAGCUGAGCUUCUAGGUCAGCCAGCAGGAGAGAAGGAAAGAGGGCUUUGAGAGGAGAGAGGAGCAGCUCGACAAGAGGAGUGAAGGCCCCUAUCAGCUGGCUGCUGAGCUCCAGUGUCAACUGGUUGCAGGGAUGACCUACAGGGAGGGAUUUAAUGAGGAGCUGAAGUUGCUGGAGCAAAGUUGGAAGAUGCUGCACCCUUUAAGGCAAGUGGGCUUCCAGUGACAAAGGUGAUGGAUGAUGUCAUGACAGAGCCAAAAAAUUGAUGAAGUGGAAAUGCAGCAAAGCCAACUGCAUGAACAAAGAUGCUGUCAUUCAAAAACUACAGGAAAAGGUUGGCGCUUUUUACUCUCUAUAGCAAUUUGUUGUAAAUAGACUGAUCCCAUCAGAGUGAACUUCAAAUGCCUACUAAUGUCAGUAACAUCUUCUGAUUAUCUGGUGUCUUUUAUUCAAGGAUUCAGAAGGAAAUUGCAAAUACAUUAUUUUAAGGUACUUAUGCAAGGAAAACAGCUGAGGAGAUGAUUUUAUCAUUCAUAUUUCACUACCAGCAAAAUCUAUUUUAAAUGUAACAAUAAAAAAUAGCUAACAUUAUUUCAUUCUUACUCUAUGCAGGCACUGUUACAAGCAUCUAUGACAGGUACUACUAUUAGCCUCAUUCAGAAGAUGAUAAAACUGAGGUGUGAAGAGAAUGCAUUAACUUGUACCAGGUUAGAUAAAAGUGCAAAUUCACAAAGGAACCAGUGAAAAAGGAAAACAGAAGGAAAACUCCUGAUGUGUAGGUUGAAGAGAACAUUCUGUCUUCAGAAAUCAGAGCAAGAAAAAUGGAAGGUAAAACAUGUUCCAGGGCACCAGUCAGAGCCCCACAAGGCUGUCUGCCCUGGGAAAUGGCGCAAGAUUAGAAGGAGGCACUGGGGGUGUUAUCGCAAGCAGCAGCUUGCCCCUUAGUAACCCCUGUCCUCCACAGGCCAGGCUGCAAUAUUUCACAUAAACGCUGGUACUGUACUCUGAACAUCAGGGACCUCUACACCCCUCACAAACAGCAAAUGCAGUUAAGACGCCAGAAAAAAAAAAUGGUAUCAAAUUGUUUAAAAACUCUACAAUAAAUGGUCCAAUAUUCUUUCUCUAUGAUUUUGUAAUGUUAAAAAAAUCCACUGAAAGUCAGAAAUCAAAUGACAGAAAGAGAGAAAGAGAAAGAGAGAGAGAGAGAAAUAAAACAAUAGCCAGUCUUAAUGUCUCUUAUGGUACCACUUUUAAAGAUUUCUUUCAGUGAGAAAACAAUCCAUGCUUUUUCAACUGAUGAUCUGCAAUUUGAAUAUGAGAUAUGGUGAUUUUAUACAGCACAACUCUUAUUACUACUAAUUGAUCUUUGAACAUGAAUUGAUUAAAUAUAGCUGCUAUGAUAUUUGUAGAAUACCUUUUCUAUUACAUUAAUCUCCAUCCCAUUCUUUUCUAUGAGAUAAGUAAAAGUUCCUUUUGAGUGAGAGAUUGGAAAACCAGCAUUCCUUCUGCUAAAUAAAGCAGACCCUCAAGAAUGCUAUCUUUUAGAAAUGGGUGAAAGGAGCCAUCCUUAAAACCCACUUCACUUGUUUAAGUCCAACUAGUUUUCAAUAGCAAAGACCCAAAGGGAAAGCUAGAGUGUUUAUGGUCUUAGGUCUUAUCCAGAUCAGAUUCCCAUAGAAAAGAAUCACAAAUAUCCAAGCAUUCGAAAUCUGCUGGGGAAACCUAACUGCUUUAAGAAAAAAAAAAAUUCUCUCCCCGAUCCUGAUUGAAAAUGAUUUCUAAACCAUACUUUGUUGAACCAACUGAAAUUUUUUUCAAGUAAGAUGCCCAUGUUAGCAGAUUUCCUUCUGAAACACUGCUUGGUAGAUUUAAUAUAUUAAGAGGUUUAUAUAUAAUUCACUCUCACCUUAGUAUGAAUUGGUUUACUCACCCUCCCUCCUUACAAAAAGCUUGGAUUUAUGGACUGAAGGUGUGCAUGAAGAAAAGGAAUAAAAAGAGGAUAGG
This 3350-nucleotide long non-coding RNA is filed under the name Homo sapiens (human). RNAcentral describes it as "HSALNT0350809". The record is from RNAcentral. Lineage: Eukaryota; Metazoa; Chordata; Mammalia; Primates; Hominidae.